RNAcentral lists this ribosomal RNA (253 nucleotides) under uncultured bacterium. Its description in RNAcentral is "partial 16S ribosomal RNA". It matches the Rfam family "Bacterial small subunit ribosomal RNA", at positions 524 to 776 of the family's 1533-position model. The record is from RNAcentral.
UACAGAGGUGGCAAGCGUUGUUCGGAAUUACUGGGCGUAAAGGGCGCGUAGGCGGUCUUGCAAGUCCCGUGUGAAAUCCCUCGGCUCAACUGAGGAAUGGCACGGGAAACUGCUUGGCUUGAGUUCGGGAGAGGGAAGCGGAAUUCCGGGUGUAGCGGUGAAAUGCGUAGAUAUCCGGAGGAACACCGGUGGCGAAGGCGGCUUCCUGGACCGACACUGACGCUGAGGCGCGAAAGCCAGGGGAGCAAACGGG